Molecule: long non-coding RNA, 43566 nt
Filed under: Oryza sativa (Asian cultivated rice)
Lineage: Eukaryota; Viridiplantae; Streptophyta; Magnoliopsida; Poales; Poaceae
Description: long non-coding RNA (OSAT_LNC000144)
Rfam family: Group I catalytic intron (bases 6632-7156)
Source: RNAcentral
AAAAUCUGAGUGAUUUAGCAGCCAGCCAGUCACCCGUGCUUUGGAUCAGCGAACGGCAGCCACUCUUUCCACAUCCCCGGAUCAACCAAGCGCUGCCUUCCAAUGCCACCUGCGAUUUGGUUAUUUAUAGACGUAAUGGAUUACCACACAGGUCCUCAAGCCACUGCUGCAGCGUGACUCUGCUCUAGCACCUCACCAAGCAGAAAGCUAGAGAGCUAGCAAUGGCGCCCACCGUGAUGGCCUCGUCGGCCACCUCCGUUGCUCCCUUCCAGGGGCUCAAAUCCACCGCCGGGCUCCCCGUCAGCCGCCGCUCCAACAGCGCCGGCCUCGGCAGCGUCAGCAACGGUGGAAGGAUCAGCUGUAUGCAGGUAUGAACAAGCCAACAUAGGAUCAGUACAAGCUUAAUUGGUAUCUUCAUCCUCAUCACACACACAGGAAAUUAAAGAGAGCUCAUCAACUUUAACCCAUAUGAUUUCUCUGCGCAGGUGUGGCCGAUUGAAGGCAUCAAGAAGUUUGAGACCCUGUCGUACCUGCCACCGCUCACGGUCGAGGACCUCUUGAAGCAGAUCGAGUACCUGCUCCGGUCCAAAUGGGUGCCUUGCCUCGAGUUUAGUAAGGUCGGGUUCGUCUACCGUGAGAACCACAGGUCUCCUGGGUACUAUGAUGGCAGGUACUGGACCAUGUGGAAGCUGCCUAUGUUCGGAUGCACUGAUGCCACCCAGGUGCUCAAGGAGCUCGAGGAGGCCAAGAAGGCAUAUCCAGAUGCAUUUGUUCGCAUCAUCGGCUUCGACAACGUCAGGCAGGUGCAGUUGAUUAGCUUCAUCGCCUACAAGCCCCCGGGUUGCGAGGAGUCCGGCGGAAACUAAGCUAGUUGGCAAGCCAGCAAGCUCACUCGUGAGCUCUAUACAGAGGAGACUCGAUUGAUCUAUUCGGUUUUGGCAGCUUUGAACGUUCGAAUCGGGCCACCUUGCAUUGGUUUCCCCUUUCCCAGUUUGUUGCUUCAGUUUUUUUUUUUCAUCUUGUUUGUGUCAACAUCAGCUGUGUAUGUAUGUACAUAUGUAUGUAUCAACAUAGGUUGAAGAGCAUGCAUAUGUGAAUGCUAGCACCAGGCUAAUCAUAUGCACAUACACAUCGUAAUAAAUAUAUUGUACAAAUCGUCAAAAACGAUACUUAUAUGUAAUACUAUACUCAGACCAAACUUGAUACCUCUGGUUUCCAUUUCAAUUAUGUGUGGUAGGACAUGCAUAGCAUUGUUGGGAAUUACUUAAUUCGUUUCCAUGCAAACAGUUCAAAGAUACACGCGCGCAAAUACGGGCGCCCUCGUUCACAUAUGUAAAUUAUUAUGUAUACAUAUAACUCUAAUCAGAUAAAAUUCAAAAUGAACUGCGAGUCCAAGCUCGAUCAUCCUGAAAUUGCCUCCUCUUCUACGAUUCUAUACGUAGCACUCAUUUCUGAAUUGAAACUUUUGUGAGCUUUGGCUUUUGAUCCUCGGGUGUUCAUCUAUUGAUGCAUACAUUCAUUUGAACUAUAUUUAAGCCAAACUUAUCUAACGCAGUUGAAUUGUCGCCUUCUGUCAUUUCAAGGAAAUUUGUUGCUUUCUGAACCUUUGUGCUAAAGUUGGAAUUUUAGUCCAUUGUUUUGGCGUCCAAGAUUUUUUUUCCCACAUCAUGACAAUUUUUAAUUUAAGAAACACGUUAAAUAAUAAUUUUAUAAUAUAUCCUCAUAGAUCUAUUUGCAAACAUAUAGACCCCACAAACAAAUUAUUUCUGUACCAUUUGCAAUUCCAAAUUUGCCAACAUUAGCUAAUAGUAGUGUGUUGUUCUGAUUUAGUUCAAAAAUACCUGCUAACGAUAAUAAAAUUUAAAAGGGUAUUCCGUCGCAAACCUGAACUGUACCAAUUUUGAAUAAUGUACUCCCUCCGUUUCAGAAUGUAAGUCAUUCUAGUAUUUCUCAUAUUCAUAUUGAUGUUAAUAAAUCUAGAUAGAUAUAUAUGUCUAAGAUUUAUUAACAUCAAUAUGAAUGCGGAAAAUACUAGAAUGACUUACAUUGUGAAAUGGAGGAAGUACAUAAUAAAUGAUUAAUUAAUACUGAACAGAGAAACAAAAGUUGUCAUCAUCUUAAUAGUCCUUUCUCAGUGUCCAACUGUUCAGGAGAUAGGGUUAUGAUAAUACUAGACCACAUAUGUCCAGUUUCAAAGGAUAGGUUCAUAAACUAGACCACAAGUGUCCCAACUACAGGAUUAGAUAGGAAUCAACUUGUGAUGCCUAGAAGACGUACGUAAAUGACAAGGACGUAGGAAAACACACGGUUCAUUCCAUGUUUCUGGGUAGUGGACAUAUCAUAGAUACCAGCAUAGGAAGUCACGCAUUUGCACAACUAUAACCAUCCUAAUUAUACAUUAUAUAUAUGAAAAUAUACUAAUGAUAUUAGAUGAACGAAAAAUCUGUUUUCAUUACUGUCGAGAAGUAAUCCUCUCUAGCGGGUGGUCGUGAGACCCCUCUUUGUGAGUUCGGCCGGGGGAGAUGGCGCGAUGAUCAAGAGACUUCCACUUGAGAUCUAACUACUGGAUCGUUCACGAGUAUGCAUGGAAGACCAAGGAUUAUACAGGUUCGGGCUGCUGGGAAGCGUAACACCCUACCCUGAGAGCCCGAGGGGUGUGACGUGGCACCCCGAGCCCCCUCAGCCACCUCAGCGCUAUCCGAGGGGCGGGGGAAGGCGAGGCGCAUGGCUACGUGACUAAACGGGAAGGAUACUUCCCUUUACUGUGUGUACCCCCGGGCCUAUAUCACCGACAAUUAUAGUCACACUUUUGUGCAACCACAACCGCCAUCUAUAUUUAUAUUAUUUAGCUUGAUUUAUAUGUUGUAUAUGAUAACAAAUCACCCACCAUAAUAUAUUGGGAACUUUAAAUUCAUAUGAUAAUUUAAGUUUACAUAACUUUAUCAUUAUUUUUCACUGUCUUCACCGCUGCACCAGUCGCCGCCUUUUCACCACCUCCACUGUUACAUGACCCUUAUUCUCCCCUUAGUUUUCCAUUGGUGUCUGUUUUAUAGCUUAAGCACAUAGAUACAUUUCAUCCUGUAUAUUUCAACUAAUACAAUACAUUAAAUCAUAAGUUUGAAAGUCAUCCUCAAAACAGAGCAAUUUGAAUGGUAUUUCCAAACAUUGGUUCUGCUCUUUAAAUACCAAGCAAAUCAAACUGACUACUACCAGGCUAGAAUAAGCCAAUCAAAUUGGUGUCACAGGCUGUUUGCUAUGCUGAUCUUUUCAGCUUGUAUCCAAGCGUCAAACAGUUCUGAAUGACCCAAAAUCUGUUAUGCCAGUAGAAUAUUACUCAGUCUUCCAAGUUAAGAGUCAAACAAAACAGGGAAAUGAGAACAAAAUUUCAACUAUUGUACUUCUGUCCACCAUGUAUCCAAAAUUUCAACUAUCGUACAUUCCUUUUCUCGAACAACAAAUAUGUGCCGAUUGUAGCAAGUAUUGUUCAGCAUGACACUGAUGUUGUCUGAAGAUCUUGAUUCAUCUGAGAUAAAGAUCGAAGAAGUUCAGACUUAAAAACACCAGUACGUAAUAUACAAUAUAUCUCAGAUGAAUCGUACGCAAUGGCUAUUAAGACUUUGUCCAUGAUUCAGUCUUCAACCAAGACCAUUCCAUGUAUAUAUUUUCCAAUACCAGUUUCAGUUAUUAAAAUCCAUAGUUGUGGAAGAAACAUUUAAAUAUGCACAUUCCAACUACUCCCUCCGUUCCCUAAUAUAAGAGAUUUUGACAUUUUACUUGCACUGUUUGACCACUCGUCUUAUUUAAAAAAUGUGUGCAAAUAUCAAAAACGAAAAGUUGAGCUUAAAGUACUUUGGAUAAUAAAGUAAGUCACAAAUAAAAUAAAUAAUAAUUCCAAAAUUUUUUGAAUAGGACGAGCGGUCAAAUAGUGUAAGCAAAAUAUCAAAAUCCCUUAUAUUAGGGGACAGAGGGAGUAUUUAGAAGAGGAGGUGUAUUCGCACUCAUAAAUUAUUGAUGUUAAUGGGCUAACGACAGAUCAUUUUAAUCAAGAUUUCAAAUUCAGAAACGGGCAGUACUACCAUAAGUUUGAGGAAAUUGUUCAUUAGAAGGAUUGAUCACCUUACGGCAUUGCAUGCUACCUUACAGCAUUGCAUGCUAUUCGCUGCAGUCAUGUAGCAAUUCACCAACACCGCCAUCAUCUUCACAGUUGCAUGGGAGAGGUGGGGGGCAUGUCUUGGGCAGCCAGAAAACAUCUGUGAGAAGCAGUAAUCCUUGGGCCUCUACUAUAGCUAUCAAGAAAGUGCAGAAGCAAUGAACAUGCUAUGCAUGGCCUGCCAUACGUUCCUGAUAUCAGUUUUAAAUUCCUUGGUAGAUUGUACUUGAUACAUACUCUUAGUUUCCUUGGGCUAAUGAGGCAAUCUGAUGACUCAUUGUAGACAGUAAGCUAAUGUGAUUACAAAUAUACUGGUCAAGUGGUCAUUAUGAAAAAAGUUCAUACUAAAAAAUCAAAUCAUGGUCAACGUUUAUAUUAGUCAACCUGCAUGUAGUAUCUUCUACUUCGUCCCUUUCAGUUACAAGACAUUUUGACUUUAGUCAAAGUCAAACUGUUUCAAGUUUAACUAAAUUUAUAGAUAAAUAUAGUAAUAUUUAUAAUACUAAAUUAGUUUAAUCAAAUCAAUUAUUGAAUAUGUAUUUUCAUAAUUAAUUUGUUUUGGGUUAAAUAUGUUACUACUUUUUUCUAUAAACUUAAUCAAAAUUAAAGCAGUUUGAUUUUGACCAAAGUCAAAACGUCUUAUAACCUGAAACAGAGGGAGUACUAAAUACCUCGAUUUAACAGUUCUACCUUUUUUGUAAGAAUAAUAUGACUAAUUAUUAUACUUGUUGUCACAUUUGCCAUUUGAACUUUUGUUAAACAUAUCAAAUGCCUAGGAAUGCAUCUCAGUAUAUCAAAUUAGGUACAUAUACAUGUAUUGAUAUGAUUUUUACUCAAUGACAACUGUCCAGACAUUAUGUUUCUUAAUAAGUAAAUAAGAAUCUGGUACCAAUUUCAUUAAUUUACUUGGCAAAUUAUGUAGUAGCUUACAGUAACUGUUUGUCACAACAUCUUCAUCAGCACUGUAAAUUUUUCUAUGUAAAAUCCAUCUAAUGGAGCAACUUUUUUGAUUGAUUAUCGCAAAAUGUUAAGAGCCAUCAUCAGAACAUAUGCAGUAUAAUAUCCCUAUUUAAAUAGAUUCUUGUGUCAAUUUUGACAGUUUACCUUUGAAUCAAGCUGUAGCGUUGAUGUGCUGUAUAAUCGCACAUCACUGAAAACGUGGUAGACAUUAACAGCCGCUGGUUGUGGAGAGGAGCAAGAGGAAGGGGUCGUCGUUGCCGUGGCUGUCGGUUGAAAUGCUGUGCAGUGACCAGAUUUAGUUCUCCCAGACCUCUGAAUGGCGGGAUCCAGAGGUGCACGCCGACGGGGAUGACGUCGGGGGGUGCACGAGAAGGAUAGCUUGUUCCACCCCUAACCAUCCAUUUGGGGGGAGGGGGGGGGAUAGGAAAAAAGUGGGGGAAGUAGAGACGCAGCGACACCGGAGAAAGAGGAGGCGACACUAGCUAGGGAGGAGGACGCGAUGACAGGGGAUGUGGAGGAAGCGGCGGUGUGGGUGUGGAGGAGGUGGUGAAGGCACGGUGAGCGCGCGCGGAGCAAGAGCGGCGUCUCAGCCUCCUGGCUUCUCCAUUUAAUUCGGAGAAAAAGAGGUAUUUUUGUUCAUGGAACAUUGAUAGAGAAAAAAGCCGACUAUUGGAUUUGAACCGAUGACCCUCGCAUUACAAAUGCGAUGCUCUAACCUCUGAGCUAAGUGGGCUUACAUAACAGAAAUAGUGUAACAAAUAGAAAUAUGUAUAGUAUAGGAAAUCCGUAAAAUGUCAUAUCUUAAUUAUUAAUCUUAGCUAUUAACUAGUUCGAAAUUGGAAGUUCUACUUAGAAAACAAUACUAGAACUUCAUAAAAUAAAGUUAGAUAGAUUUUUUUGAACUUUCUUUUUUCUCUAAUUCGCAAAUCUAUUUUUCUAAUAGAAUCUAUUCCAAUUUCUAUAUUGAAUUUGAUUUUAGAUAUUUUUAAUUUGAUAUGGCUCGGACGAAUAAUCUAAUACAUGGAAAAGAAUAAAUAAUAUAUAUACGAAAACAUAAUAAAGAGAACAUGCGAAUUUCUUGUAUUUUCAGUCCAUCAUUAUAGACAUUUUUUGAGAUAUUUUGUUUUUUUUGUUAUUUGCUAAUAAUUUAAUGAUUAAUAUUUCACUAAGGAGAACAUAGAAUCAUAGCAAAUGAAAUUGCUAAUUCUGAUUAGCAAAAAAAAAGAAUGAAUAUCAAGCGUUAUAGUAUGAUUUUGAAUACUCUAAAAAAGGAACGCGGUAGGUGGGGGAGAGAAAAACCUUGGGAUAUAUUGAUUCGCAUUGAAUUGCAAAUACAUCAACGAUAGAAUCAAUUCAAUGCUGAAUUGCAAUAAGCGGAGUCUCACAACUAGAGACGAACCGCUAGACUACAUAGAGUAAUGAAUCCAACGAUUCAAAAAAAACUAACAGAUGGAGGAAAUUGCACAAGAAAUCCUGGUCUCAAAGAAAAAGAAAAUGGGGAUAUGGCGAAAUCGGUAGACGCUACGGACUUGAUUGUAUUGAGCCUUGGUAUGGAAACCUGCUAAGUGGCAAUUUCCAAAUUCAGAGAAACCCUGGAAUUAAAAAAGGGGCAAUCCUGAGCCAAUCCAUGUUUUGAGAAAACAAGUGGUUCUCGAACUAGAACCCAAAGGAAAAGGAUAGGUGCAGAGACUCAAUGGAAGCUGUUCUAACGAAUCGAGUUAAUUACGUUGUGUUGCUAGCGGAACUCCCUUCUAAAUUAGGGAAAGAAGGGCUUUCGAAAUCUAAUACACACGUAUAGAUACUGGCAUAGCAAAUGAUUAAUCACAGAACUCAUAUCAUAAUAUAGGUUCUUUAAUUCUUUUUUAAAAUGAAAAUAGGAAUGAUUAUGAAAUAGAAAAUUCAUAAUUUUUUUAGAAUUGUUGUGAAUCCAUUCCAAUCGAAUAUUGAGUAAUCAAAUCCUUCAAUUCAUAGUUUUCGAAAUCUUUUUAAAAGUGGAUUAAUCGGACGAGGAUAAAGAGAGAGUCCCAUUCUACAUGUCAAUACUGACAACAAUGAAAUUUCUAGUAAAAGGAAAAUCCGUCGACUUUCUAAGUCGUGAGGGUUCAAGUCCCUCUAUCCCCAAACCCUCUUUUAUUCCCUAACUCUAGUAUUUAUCCUGUUUUUUUUAUUAAUAGGUUUAAGAUUCAAUGGAAUACAUUUCUUUUUUAUUAUAGUAUCGGCAAGGAAUGUCGAUUAUUAACUCGAUAUUUAAAUAUUAUUAAAUAGGCUUUCUUUGUACAAUGCAUAGGACUGACCCCUCCCCAUUUCCAAAUUUUGGAUAUUGACAUAGAUACAAAUACUCUACUAGGAUGAUGCACAAGAAAAGGUCAGGAUAGCUCAGUUGGUAGAGCAGAGGACUGAAAAUCCUCGUGUCACCAGUUCAAAUCUGGUUCCUGGCACAGAAAAAAGGGAUCUUCCGAAUAGGUAUUGAUACAAAUACCUCGAGAUGGGUUGGGAUACAUAUUCGUUAAUAAUAUAGAUAGAGUAUGAUUUUUUCAUCUAAGUAGAUAAAUCUCUAAAUAGAGGCACUUCUUUUUCUGCAUUUUUGCAUUUCUUAAUUUUCUAUUCCGCUAUUCCGACAAAUAUUUUUUUAUUCUUGCUUAUCUUAUCUUACUUUCCUAGUUGUUCUAAGUGAUGCACGUGGUACAAAGUUCGUGGUAGGGAACUUCUUUGAGUCAUCAUAUUUUUCUGUUCAUACGAAGGAAAUGAAUAUGUGAUUUUCCAACGAAAUGAAGCCCUUUUUUGCUUAGUCUAUCUGAACCUUUUGUAUAAUUGGAAUUAAUUAGAAUGUAAUAGGUAUUCUGUUUCAUCUAGGAACAGAGCGUAAAAAUAUUCCUUGACUUGCAUAAAAUCUGGAGUUGUGUUGUAUAAGUGAGCAUGAAUUUCUUAUCAUUCAAUGAGCAUCUUGUAUUUCAUAGAAAUUGGGGGUUAUAUAGUCCUUACGUAAGGGCCAGCCUAUCCAACUUUCAGGCAUUAGGAUACGUUUAAGGCGUGGAUGAUUAUCAUAAGAGAUUCCCACCAUAUCAAAAGAUUCGCGUUCUUGAAAAUCGGAACUUCUCCAAAUCCAGAAGACAGAUGGGAUUCUAGGAUUAUCCUUUUGGGCAAAGACUUUUAUGCAUACUUCUUCUGGGUUAUCUAUACCAUACUGUAUUCUCGUAAGAUGAUACACGCUAGCUAAAGAUCCACCGGGUGCAACGUCAUAAGCACAUUGGGAACGUAAAUAAUUGUAACCAUAUACAUAUAAAAUGACAGCAAUGGAAUCCCAAUCCUCUGCUUUUAUUUGCAAAGUCUCUAUUCCUCGAUGAUCGAAGCCCAAAGAUCUAUGAACCACCUCAUGUUUGACUAGCCAAUUAGAUAACCAACCCUGCUGCAUUAUCUUGAUCUCUCCUCCUUUGUAUAAAUAUUUCGCAGUUCGAAUGCAAGUUUGAAAUAUUGCCCUGCUCUUUCUUUUUCGGCACAAAGAGCUCCUCCUAAUUCACUAAUUUGUAGGAAGAUACUGGACUUUUGGAUUUGAAAAAAGUUUCAGAAGAUAUGUCUAAAGUAGAUGGUGAUUGAUAGAGCAAUUCUUGCUCAUAAGUUCCAGUAUUAGUACUGCGCCGAACAUAAAGCUUGUGGCUGGUAGUAAAACAUCGAUUUUUCUUUUGAGAUAGAGUUCGAUCCUCAACUAUUUCUCGCGAUAUCUUCUUACGAAGUUUUGUUAGGGCAUCUAUAACAGCCUCUGGUUUAGGUGGGCAACUCGGCAAGUAGACGUCCACAGGAAUUAACUUAUCAACUCCCCGAACAGUACUAUAGGAAUCCGUACUGAACAUUCCACCAGUAAUAGUACAAGCUCCCAUAGCAAUGACGUAUUUUGGUUCAGGCAUUUGCUCAUAUAAUCUCACUAAAGAGGGAGCCAUUUUCAUUGUUACUGUACCGGCUGUUAAAAUUAGGUCCGCUUGCCUAGGACUUGAUCUUGGUACCAAUCCAUAACGAUCAAAGUCGAAUCGUGAGCCUAUUAAUGAAGCAAAUUCAAUGAAACAACAACUGGUACCAUAUAGAAGGGGCCAUAAACUAGAGAGUCUUGACCAAUUUGAAAGAUCUUUUAGUGUAGUUGAAAUAACGGAAUUGGAACUUGUUUGGUCAAGUAGGGGAAACUCAAUCAAACUCAUAACUGUCUUAAUGGAAUCUUUUCCUUCUUUUUUUUGUCUGAAUAUUCAGUUAAGACCAUUCCAAGGCUCCUUUUCGCCAUGCAUAAACUAAACCAACAACUAGGAUAAGCACGAAAAUGAAAGCUUCGAUAAAAACGGAUAUACCCAAUACGUCGAAACUCAUUGCCCAAGGGUAGAGAAAGACCGUUUCCACAUCAAAAACAACAAAAACUAGCGCAAACAUGUAAUAGCGUAUUCGGAAUUGUAACCAAGCCCCCCCCAUGGGUUCUAUACCCGAUUCAUAACUAGAAAGCUUCUCUGGUCCUUCACGAACCGGAGCUAAAAGUGCUGAAAUCCAAAAUGCUAAAAUAGGAAUAAGGCUUGCUAUUAUUAGAAAUGCCCAAAAAAUAUCAUAUUCGUGAAGCAGAAACAUAAAUGUACUCCCAUUAAUGUGGAAUAGGCGGAACUGAAUUAGUCAAUUCAAGUCAGCAUUGUCAAUUUAUACAGAAUUUCUCUCUUUUCCUCGGUGAAACAAGGAUCGGUUUUUCUCAAACCAAAGGGCUUAGUUUAGCCUUUGUUUCCUCUUUGCCACGUCUUCUUUAAAGAUUCAUCCAAUGGAAUCCCGACUCCCUUUCUUUUUUAUUUCCUUUCUAUUUAGGUAUGGUGGAGACAUAAUUCUUAUAGAAACAAAACUCUCUCGCUUCACGUUGUCUCAUUUUCUCUAGAAUCUCUAGAAAAAGGAAUAAAAACGAAAAUACUACGAAUUAGAGCCUAAUUAAGAUAGGAUGACUAAUGUAUGCAGCCUAAUGAGGAGUAAUUCUAUAAAAAUAAAGAACUCUAUUUCAGAACGUAGAUUGAUUUAGAUUUAGGUAAUCUAUAGAUAUAGAUAAGCAAAGUAAUAUACUUCAAACAAAGUAGGAAUUUGCAAGAUGGAGAACAUCUUGCAGUUGAUUUGAUAGAAAUUCAUUUUUCUUUUCCUGUCUCUAUAAUUUUCGAUGAAUGAGCCUCUGGUAAUCCUUUUCUCUCUAUUUUAUGGCGCAGGCGCCUGUCCAGUCUAUAAACAAGUACUAAUAGGGAAAUGAAAACUAUACUAAAGGAAACGUAGGAUAUCUCUCCUAAAAUCUAAAAAAGGACAUAUUAGGGCUAUACGGAUUCGAACCGUAGACCUUCUCGGUAAAACAGAUCAAACGGAUUAUUAUCGAAAUGAUUCGAACUGUUUCAAAGACCCAACAUGCAUUUUUUUGCAUUGGGCUCUUUUAUCAACUGAUAGAAAGAUCAGUUAGUCCACCAUAGUUUUUCUUUACGGAAAGAUAAUGAGAUGGCUCCCUGCGCUCUGAUUGAUUAUUUGUAUUAUGAUCUAUCUAAGAGCAAUACCAAAGUGUUUCAAAGGAGGAUUACCUUGACUUAGGUCUGCCUCCGGCCUAAAUUAAAUCAACCUAAGUGAAAUAGAGUCUCUAUCGUUCCGCUACAAGAGUUGACUAUGAGACUUCAUACACCUUAAAGUUCAUAGAACGAAAAGAAUUUUUUUGGAGGCCCUUAUCCUCAUUAAGCCUAGCAUUUAGUGGGCUGGAUAUUUACCUUAUCAACUAGCAAAUCAAUAAAGGUUCUAUUUGUUUAGGCACCUGGAUUGGUACCUGAAUCGGACUGAACCAACUAUUUGUCAGGCGACUGUUCUCCUAUUCUCUCGAAUCCAUGAAGUAAGACAUUGAUUUUGCAAGAAGAUCCACUAUGUUCAUUGCAUAAUAAGCUCCCAUGAAAAGCAUUGGCGCACGUGUAAACGAGUUGCUCUACCGAACUGAGCUAUAGCCCUUGUCAGAGAUAUCUUAAUAUAUAGAGAAUUUCUUGUCAAGAUGAAUAUUCUCUAAUAGUAGAGGAUAUCCUUUGAUCUGUUUACUAUAAUAACAUACCAAUAACUAAGCGGUAUUUGCUUAUAAAAAGGAUUCGAUCUAUAAUCAAUCGAAGUAAAGGGUCUUCCUUUGUGGUGAUAAAUUGCCUACUUAACUCAGUGGUUAGAGUAUUGCUUUCAUAUGGCGGGAGUCAUUGGUUCAAAUCCAAUAGUAGGUAGGUAGAUAGAAAAAUUACUAGAUAGCAUUGGCCCUACUUCGCUUCGCUAUCUAAUAAUUUUUUCUACCCCUCUUCCCUUUUUCUUUGUAUCAACUAAACCGUUGGGUUGUCUUCAAUUAGAUGGGGGAAUCCAAUUAACAGCCUCGACUCGUAUCCUAGCUCGUCUGAGAGCUACCUUCGCUUCAACCAAUUCUUUCGUACCCUCAGCUCUACUCACGUUAGCUUCGGCUAUUUCAAGUGCCUGUUGAGCUUCUUCCGGAUCAAUGUCACUACCCAGUUCCGCAUCAUUUCCUAAAAUGAUGAUCUCAUUAUUAACUAUUCUGGCAAAACUGCUCCACAGAACCGCCGUUAACCAUUUAUCGUUGAGGAGGCGUAUUCUCAAGGGACCCAUAUCUACAGCUGUGUUAAUGGGGGCGUGGUUUGGUAAUACGCCAAUUUGGCCACUAUUAGUAGAUAAAAUGAUUUCUUUCACUUCACAAUUCCAAAUAAUUCGCUUAGGAGUCAGUACAUAAAGAUUUAAUUUCAUUUCUUCAAUUUGUUCUCCUCUUCUAAGUUUAUAGCUUUCGUGCUAGCUUCAUCGAUGUUACCCACCAAAUAAAAAGCCUGUUCGGGUAGGCCGUCUAAUUCUCCGGAAAGGAUUAGUUGAAAUCCCCUAAUAGUUUCUGCAAGACCAACAUACUUUCCCGGAGAACCGGUAAAAACUUCUGCCACAAAAAACGGUUGUGAUAAGAAGCGCUCAAUUUUUCGUGCUCUUGCUACAGUUAAACGAUCCUCCUCCGAUAAUUCAUCCAACCCAAGAAUUGCGAUAAUGUCCUGAAGUUCUUUGUCAAUGGCUCUAAGUAAGAAAAGCUUUAUCAGAUUCUAUUUUCCGAAGUUGCACCUACAACUAUUCAUUGAAAAGAAUCCUACUCUUAUGGGUAAAUGCUCAAUAUCCAAGUGGGCUUACAAAUUUGAUCAUGAUCAAUUGCUUUGUGGAUUGUCUCGCGUCUCUUGAUUAGUUGGUAUUUAUCCCCCCCAAUAUUGCAAGUUUCUUACGUCCAAACAAAGUAUUUACUUGUUACUAAUAAAAAAUCAAAAAGUUUAGACUACGUUCUUCCUUAGAUCCCUUCUUUUACUCCGAUAGUAUUGCAUAUCGCAAUCGAUGCAAAGAAAAUGAAUGCAUUUCCAUACUAUAAUAAAAAGUAAGUGUAAUAAAUAGAGAAUUGGAUCAUGUCACAUGACUUAUUCCACUCCUGCCAUCUCGGAGUCCAGGGAAGCGCACAGAUAGAGCAAGGAAGAGAAGGGGGGAAAAAUGAAAAGAAAAAUAUGGGAUGUGGAAGGAUCCCAUUGUGAAAAGAUGUUUUCGGAAGGAUCGCGGGGAGGUUUCACCGUUUGAGAGAUCCAACAGCUCGCAUUGUCUGGUGUAGAAAUCAGACGGCCCAUAAUUUCUUGAAGACGUGGGUUUAUUGAGUUUUACUUUUCACUUAGUUAGAUAGGCAUUCAUUAGCUAGCCACUCUUAGCACCUAAGAGCAGUCCUACUAUUAGCCAGCUAUAGAUAUAUUUUAACGAGCUAAAAGAUGAGAGAGAAGAAUAGUGGGUUACAGAUCUGUAGCCAGCUGCAGCACGGACUCCAAGACGCAGUGUGUGUAUGACAGGUGGGACCAUAUAUCAAUAGUAUAGUAAGCAACUAUUGUAUGAAUUGGCUAUUAGAUUGGCUAUAGAUGAAUUAGAGCUAGUAGUUGGUUAUACUAUUAAAUUUGCUCUAAGAGGCAUCAUGUCUGAGGUUUUGUUUGAAAUUCAGGAUAUGGAAAACGUAGGAACAUUAAAAACAUAACAUAGGAAAUAAUAGGAAUAUGAUAGGAUUGUAGGUUUAAAACGGAGUGAUUAUAAAGCAUAGGAAAACUGAGCAAACUAUUGUUCGGAAGCGCAAAGAAAAACUCAGAAAUCUUAUUCACUAAUAGAAGUAACUCGAUAACAUAUUAUCAAAUUGUACUUAGAUGGUACAAGCAACUGAUGUGUGGGCCAAGGAACAGUAAACCAUCGUUACAAAGGCCAAUUGAGUUGAUUUAUUUCUCCCUUUGCAUCGGUCCUAUAUAUGGAAAGCCAGCAAAAAAAAAAAAGAGGGACUCUCGACAUGACAAACGGCUCAAAAUUUUUUGGGUUUCAGCCGUUUUUUCUCACCGUGCGAUAAAUACACGCGUCACCCAUCCCCUCCCGCACAAAAAUCCCACCCGAGUAGCUGGUAGUGCGCUUUGCACAAACGGCACAACAAAAUCCCGCUUGUGUUUGUUUUGUCCGUGUGGGUUUAGUCCACAAAAGAAAAAGGCCCAUGACGUUUUAUCUUUGUAGAAAGCCCACAUCCCGCAAGGAGAAAAAAACCAAGGACUAUUUUUAUCCGUGUAAACAAGCCCAGAAAAAGAAGCACACAUCGUGCAACUCUUAUUUUUUAGGAACCCACAUCCUGGACUUCUUUUUUAGAGACACACAACCUGCACUUUUCUGUGCUGCUCCAGUACGUCUUGCUGCAUGAACCAUGCUGGUUUGGUUUUGUUAGUGAUAUGCUCUAGAGGCAAUCAUAAAGAUAAUUAUAUCACAUAAUAUGUUUAUAUAUUUAUCCGACAUUGUUCUUUAAAAUAGAUAACACAUUAUUGGUUAAUGAAUAUGUGAUUCUUUCAUGAGACUUUUUAUGUUGUAUGUUACUAUUUCUGAAGGAUCCCUGAUCAAAUAUCAUAUGUGGAACAAAUAUGUUUAAAUGAUCAGCACAUGUAUUAAUUGAUGAUUAUGUUUCAUGGAUCAUGGUAUAGAGAUACCAAAUUAAUAAUGUGGACACAUGUUGGGGAACAUGUUGUUGGAUAGACCCAACAUGAUACAUUGCAAGAGCCAUAUGUGUUGUGUUAUCAGUGAUCUCAUUUAGUGUUGGUGUUGAAUCCUUAGACCUGAGAUUAUCAUGGUUCCCAACAUAUGUAGUAUCUUACUUAGGGACUGCUAAACGCUACUCCGUAAUUGGGUAGUUAUAAAAAUAGUUUUCGGGUAUGCUAUGAAACAUAUAGUUAGAUAUGUAUAAUCAAGAUGGGAUUUGCUCCUUCUAUGGAGAGAUAUCUCUGGGCCCCUCGAUGUUAUAGAUUAUGAAAGUGCAUGGCCAUACCAAAGGUCAUUGAGGAGUCAAUCACAAGUUAUAUAUAUAAUAUAUCACAUGUUCGAGUGAAUGAUUGAGCUAUUAGAGGAUGUCAUAUAUCUAGCCUUGAGCUUAAUCGAUAUCAUGAGGCAAAGGUGUUCAUACAUGUAUACACUAGAUAUUCAGCCGAUAUGAUCUUUAUGUAUGCCCGGUGGGUCAAUACAUUCUGCUAGGGGCCACCGUUGACACGUGGACCGAAAAGGAGUUUUCGGGUUACAGCUGAGUGUACAUGAACCUACAGGAUUGCACGCUUAUUGGGCCGGAAUAAGGGGAUUAGAUGGAGAUCCAAUAUGAGCUUAAUUCGAAUAGGGAUCCGAGUUGGAGUCCUACGGACCUUCACGGAUCCUAUAUAUUUGUGAGGGGUAUGACCGGCGGAGGUAUUGCAUCACGUGAGAAAGCCUAGCCGCCACUCCCCUCCACGAGCAAAAAACCCUAGCCGCACGCGGGUGCUAGCACAUCUGCGCGUGGCGUUCCGUCCCUGUACGUGUGGAUACUGGUAGAGACGCCGCUGCUUUGCGGUGCUGAUCAGCGUGGGAGCACGGCGAGGAGAACGCACGAGGAGGAGAAGGUCGAGCCGGUGUGAUCGACUACUUCCUCUACAUCGACGCGCGCUACAUCGCGAGGGUUCCUUCGCCUUCUUAGCGCUUUCUUCCACUGCGCAGCGCGUCGAGUGGUAACGAUCUAUGAUCUAAUACUUGCAUGGUUCCUGAUUUACGCAGUAAUUUAUACUAUCGUAGCCUACGCGUGUCUCAACAGGUUUCACAUUUUUUUUUCAAGAAGUGUUCCUGCCAAACAAAAUAAAAAGGUUAUAUUAGGACGACAUGAUUGCAUACAAAUAUGGGGAGCAAAAUACUAGGUUCAGAAAACUGUCAGAGUUAAUUCUGAACUGUUAAAUAUGUUGAAAACUACGUUAACCCCAAAGAUGCAAUAUGGCGUGAUGCAUCAUUCAUGCUGAGAUGCAACAAACAUGUAUUGACGUUGUGUUGCUAUUGGAAAAUUACUAUUCUUGGCCUAGUUCUUUUUCCAAACUUCAAACUUCAACUUCCUCGUUUUUCAUUAGCACGUUUUUCAAACUAUUAUUAAAUGGUGUGUUUUUAAUAAAAAAGUUUCUAAGUAGAAGUUGUUUAAAAAAUUCCAAUGAAUCUAUUUUCUAAUUUUAUACUUCAAUAAUUAAUACUUAAUUAAUCAUGUACUAAUGAGCUUUCUCGCUAAAAAUCUCUCUCAACUCACCUAUCGAACGGGGCCAGUAGAACAAAUAAAGAGCAUCAGAUAAAGUAGCCCAUAGUCUCGCGCACCUUGCGCUUAGAUCGAAGGAGUCUGUAGUUUGGCGUCUUCAGGCGCCGGAGUGUGUUCAUAAUCUUUUAGCCCUCGAUUGUAACCCUAUGAUUGAUGAGUAAUAAAGCUUCAUGUUUCCCUCGCAAAAAAAAAAAAGAACAUCAGACAAUGUGUAGCAAGGAAAAUUGUGUAGUUGUUAUGACUCAAACUAAAAAUAGGUGCUAUGCAUGCACAGUUAUAGUCAAAUUUGUGGGCACAAAUUUUAAUUGCUACAUCAAGGAAAUUUGCAUUCGCAACUAUAGCAAAUUUGCAAGCACAGCUAGAAAUCUAUACCUAUAGUAUAAUUGGGAACUUCAUAGGAGCUCCCACGUUAACCAGUAAAAUCAGAUCGUUAAUUUGAUACAUCAUAUAAUCCUAACCAUUGAUUAUAAACUCUAAUCUACAUUAGCAUGAUGGGCCUGAUGUAAAGCCCAUCCAAUCAACCGCUUUAAUUAUAGUGAUGGGCGUGCGUUCCACUCCAGUCUUGCACCUAAUCUUCGUUUUCUUCCACAACCUUAUGUCAAUCAAGAGAUCAAUCAAUCCACUGCUCCUACUCUUCCUCUCAGAGUUCAAUCCAUGGUGUUUUUUUUUCCCUGGUCAUCAAUGAUUUGCAAAUAGUGAUAAUCAUUUACUCAAUUUUGAUGCAUCUUCACGUAGCCAAAUCAAAUAGCCGAUGAAUCAAAUUUAAAACAGAUCUAUGUAGGCCAUGCCCUAGCUAAUCUAGAGCAGGAAGUUUCAUGUAAAUCUCACACCUCCUUGCAAUACAUAGACAAUUGAUCUUCUGAUUUUAUCUGACAAUAGAUUAAAUAUUUCUUCUUUCCAGGUGAUUGCUAGAUAUUAUAAUUGAAUAUACCAUACCAGACAUGUUCUCUUACAGUUUUUGCCAGUACUUGUUUUCUUUAAUAAAGAACAUUUGUUGCAUGCCUUAAUACAAUUAUAAAUAAUAUUCAUUGGUUCAACAUGGUCCAGGAUAAUGUUCUGCUUAUAAUAUUGGUACCUUGGAAAAUUUGAUCUUCAAAACAAAAUGUAUACAAUAAUUUACUUCCCAAGCUACGGUAAAUAGCUUAAAUUCAUCAGUCAAUAUUAAAUUCCAUAUUUUACUUUUUUUUAAGGUGAUUGCUAUAUGUUUCUGCAGGGCACCAUAAUACAUUUGUUGACGGUUGUUAGCGAUCAGUUUCAAUCGUCAAUAUUACCAAAAUAGAGAAGAACUAGUUAUACUUGCAAUGCAUAUCCAUGUUAGUAUAAUAAUAUUCCACUAGUAUUAGAUUCACUAGCCUUUUAUAGAGAAUAACCAUUAAGUGGAGGAGAAUCGAUAUCAAAUCAGAUGAUAUAUCAAUCGGACGAUGUCGAGAAUCAAACUUAUGUAUGAAUGGGCCAAGAACUCAGAAAUGACACAACCAAUUGGGCCAAAAUUCACAAGUCUGCAGAGAAGAGAAGUCUAAGAGGCCACCAGCCAACUUGUGGGCUAGUUAGGCCAGCCCAGGGUUCGGCCGAACCAAUGCCAGCACCGAUGGAUGCAUGGUUUUGAGGGAACAGUGGAGAUUCACUCCCUAUGGCGGUUAGAGGGUAUUACCGACUAUUCCAACCGCCAUAACCGUCAUUAUAUCUACCUAUUUAAAGAGCUCCUCUUUCAUUUCACUCAUACACCUCAAGCAAAGCUCUCUCAUAUUCUCUCGAGUUUAGUUUAGUGUUCUUAAGCUAGUGGAAUAGGAAUAGAGUAGAAAUCGGAGUCCAGAAGCCUUCGGAAGAGUUCGGAUAUGGCUCUAGUAGCUCUUCUCUUCUCUUUUGUAAGCUUUGUACUAUUAUUAGAAUACUCUUCUUUAUACAUUUAUGGUAUUAAAAUACUUUCCGAGUAUAUGAAUGCCAACUUUAUAUUAUGUUUAUGUUGUACUGAUUAUACUGCUAGCUUAUCUGGGAGAUGCCUUGGUGCGGGUAUAAUGUUUUUAUAUGCAAUUACUCCAUGUCAUGACGAUGAUAUUAGAGUAGUAUCUGGUAGUUUUGGCGUGGUGUCUAGAUUACGGGAUAUCAUUAUUUGGGGUUAUAUGCUGCGGAUGAGAGGUGGGCCGCUGAUGGUGACAGCUCAGUACAGGUAUUCCUCUACACGUAUAUAUAGUCCUAAGUUAAUUUUCUGGGGAGGGUACUCCUCCGUAUUUAGCUUCGGUUGUAUGGUCAUGACGGACUGUCGUAAGGAACUUGGCAAUCAGGGGUGGCUUCUCGAAGCACUAGGAGGGUAUCGGAUAGAGGGUAUUAGCUAGUAUAUCAGAUAACUAGGAUAUAUGUAUACUAUGUAUACUAGAAGUAUAGGAAUAGAUUCUCGUUCUCUUUUCUUUCCACUUUGCUUAGAUAUUUUAGUAUGAGAAUGAGUAGCUCCAUGCUGUUGUGUCACUCUGCUUAGACUAUGAUUAUAUUAACCCCUGCUUAGACUAUGAUUAUUACAAGUAACAUAUAAAUUAUUAGUCAGGUUCUCUCUACCAUGAUCUUUCCACGGGAUUAAAUAAAUACGAUACCCUUGGAAUACUCUCGGGUAAAAUGCUACAAUGGUAUAUCCGUGCGCUUGCGGAUGAACUCUAUAACCAUAAUAUACUAGGAGGAUUUCUGCACCAUUGCUGGGAAUUAUAUUUCUGGCAAUGUCGUUAAGAAAUAUCAACAAGCAUUUCUGGCGCCGUUGCCGGGGACGAUUCAUAAUAGAGAUUACCAGAACUAAUACUGUAACAGCCCUAGGUCAAUUACCAGGUAAUUAGAAAUGCAAUUAUCAUCACUUAGGUUGCAUCUUUACUUUAUUGCAAGUAAUUACAUGUGAUAGCAAUUUAAACUUUAACCGGCAAAACCAAAGCAACUUCUAAAUGAAAAAUAACUUGAACAGAAGUAUAUGUGUUUAAUAUUUUAUUCAAAUAUUAGUUUAUUUAUCAUCACUAAAUAUAAAUUUUGUGGAAUUUUUACUCUCUGUUUAGGCCUCCUAAAAAUUCAAACCAACUUUCAGCCUAACCAAUUUCAUCUUUUCACCAGAUUUAAAACACUUGGAAUUUAUGUGUGAAACUUUGAAAAAUGGAACCUAGAAACCUACACCUAUCACCACACCAAAUUUCUACAUUUUUGAACUUGUUUUACCUAGUCAAAUUGAAUUUACCAAGAGAGGGAAAGAAAAUAAAUAUUGGAAAUUGCAAGAACGAAUUUAUACUCAGUUUUUCACCCACCUCUCUCACCCUCAUAGACAGCCACGACUUGGGCCCACUUGUCACUGACCUUGGGUGCCUCUUUAGCCCCACAACACACCCAUGGGCGUGCUCCCACCUCAGGACUUAAGGGGGUAGAGAAAACCCCAUCUUCUUCCUCGCCUUUCAUCUUCACUGCUUGUUCUUUCUUUUCUUCAUCAAGCUGAGCUCUCAUCUCACUUCUCCUCCCCAAAUCCCAUCCAAUAGCCUAAGAUCAAUCCCUGCAUGUAAGACCACAACAAUCCCUAUCAUAAAAACUUUGCAUCCAUCCCAACAUCUUGCACAUGCAUGGAGAGUUGAGAGAGAUCGAGAAGGAACAAAAGAGUGGUGGUUUCAGCCUGCAGGGCUGCAGCAGCAGCAUUUUGUUUUCCUCCAUUUGGUAAGCUUCCAUUUCAUCCAUGGUGCCUCUUUUGGAUUCCCUCCAUGUUGAACAUCUAUAGCAAUGUUCUAUAGGUUGUCCACUCCAUUGCUGCAGCUAGAAGGUGGCUGCAACUCACCCCGAGUUCAUAUCUUUUGAUUUCGGUUGAAGCAGCCCUAGGCAACGUCUCUUGCCGUCAGCCCAAGACCUUGCUCCAUCUCUUGCCAUCAGCCCGAGGCCUUAGCCUCGCAUGACCCUACGUCCAGGUUGCUACCAUGUGAGCGAAGUCCGAUGGAAGUUGGAGAAAAGGGGAGUGAAAAUAGAAAUCGAUUUCAAAGAUAUCUAUUGAGCUAAAAGAGGUAUGCGCUUUAAAAAUUCAUAACUAAUUCAUAUGAACUCCGAAUUCAGUGAACCAAAUUUCUGUGGAUUAAGAAAAACGUGAUCUUCAAUGUUGUAAAAUAAAAAUGACCAACUUUUGUACUGGUUUUCCCAGUAAAAAUAUAAAUAGCUAAUAUGUAUCCCUUGUGUGGUCUAGCUCUUAAUAAAUUCGCAAGAAAUUAUUGGUAAAAGCUAAAAUUGUGAAACCAAUUUUGUUGAGCUUAUAUUUUAGUACUCUUUGCUGUUGUGGUGUUGUUUUUGGCAAAAAUACCUCUUAAAUCUUGUUUAGCAGUUAUUUAGCAUUCCCAUGAUUUUAACUUGUAAAACCCAUAUAUAAAUGAGAUAAUCCAUGAAAUGCCAUUGACAAGCGUCCCAGAAAUGCCGUUAACGGCGCGGAAUGGACGGAACCCUAACGGCGAUGGCAUUUUUGGGACAAAAUCGUUUGUACGAUGGCAUUUAUUGGAACUCACACUUGUCGAUGGCAUUUCUGGGACUUAGACGCUUGUCAAUGGCAUUUCAUGGAUUAUCUCUAUAUAAAUAAUGACAACAGAUACAGCUGUGAAAUAUUUUUUCUUAGAACCUGUGAGUGAUGUAAUUUACUCUAAAAAUAAUCAUUAUUAUGAAAUCUUGGUUUGAAAUGCAUGUUACUUGUAAUGUACUAAAGGAAAUGUUAAUAUUUACAGAACUGCCAUUUUCAACACCUGAGAGCUUGUCAUUUUCAUAUCUCCCAAACCAUAAGUGAUAAUCUAGUGAUUCUUUCAACUAAAUUCAAGUUAAAAUAUGAUCUACCCACUAUAUUUAUUUCAUAAUUUAUUGAUCAUUUUGCAUGUGCAUGUUUAUUUGGCUCUUAUUCGCAUAUUACUUCUUUUCGAUAGAUUCGGAGAUUCCGGAGAGUAACGAGCCAUAUCCUGAGGAGGAUAGUGACUACCCUCAGCAGCAAGGCAAGCACCUAAGCAUAUAGAACCUGUGCUUUCUCUAAAAAUGAUUUGGUUGCAAUCUAUACGUAUAUAUAUAUGCAUGUAUUGCCUAGAUAUUAAUAUUGUCGAUUUAUGGUGUAUGGGUAGAACCUAUUUAUGCAUUUAGUUCUUGUGAUAUUGCUGUCCUUAUACCCCAUUACCAUUGGUUGGGAUUGCUUGGGAUGUCUUAUUCAUUAAUGCUUAGCCAUGCUUAGUGCUAAUAGAACUAUAGUGAUAGACAGUGCUAUUAAUUGUGGUAUAUAGACAACUUGCAUUAUUGGGCAUAAAACUUGAGCACUUACACUACUAAAUAAUGGUUGAUGAAAUAUGUUGGACUUGGACGGGUGAUAGGGCAAUGAUGGGAGGUUGGUUUCCCCUGAUGCAAGUAGCCCCGUCUAGGUUGUUAAGGACUGAACAUUUUGACAUCUAAUCAAGCACCCUACGUACUUAUCACAUGCCUUAUUUUGGGACCGGCUUGUUCUUACUAGUUCUAUUGUGAUCAUUUAUACCACGUUGGAGAGUUGUGAGGCAGGUAGCCUUUGGAGGGCCUCGGGUGCCUAGGUUUGGCCGGGGGUGCCUCCCGCGUGGCGCGCCCGCCUUGGUCACAUCACGCACGCACGUGACUGAGUCGUCGGGAAGGCUAGCGUGGUAUAGGUGGUUGGGGUGGGGCUAAGAAAGGGCAUGUAAUGAGCUUGAAUCACUUGUGUACCGCAGUUGACGGGGUGUGUAGCAUUUGAUCUUUGUUCAUUUCGUGUGGGACCAGUUGUACACCUCUGAUCAGAGUAUAAUCUAUUCGAAUAGUCGCGUCCUCGGUGAUGGACAAUGCUUGAUGUGUUAGUCAGUUAUGUUAGCAUCAAAUGUGGAUUAUUAUGGAUGGGAUUAUGUUCGAUGGUGGUGUUGGCAUGUUGUGCCAUGUUGGUAUAGACUUUGGUAGUCCAUGGUUGAUGAUGAGAGCGCCGUUUGGGCUCAUUUGCUUAUACAUUUCAGAAUUAUAUACUUGCUGUCCAUAAAUUAAAAUGAUGCUAGAUUUACUUAUCCUUGCUUAUUUUACUCAUUAAUUGCUCAAUAAAAUUAGCUUUAUGCAAAUGUUGAACCUAGAGACCCACUAUAGCCUAGAAAGCUUGCAUACUUCUCUCUCCCUUAUGUAUAUAUAAUUUUGGGUAAGACUUGCGAGUACAAUCUUGUACUUAACCCGGUGUCUGCAAUUUCAAGAGAGGAUUCCGGUUAUGAGUUAUGCUUCUUGUGUGGUAAUUGCUUAGACGAGGGCGGCGAGGGCAAUGAGUGAUCUCUUGCAGCUUGGCUCUUGCCCGGUUGGUUUGCAUUAGUGGGGUUGUGGCACCACCGGUUUUAUCUUUUGCUUAUGAACUCUAUUUGAGACUUCCGCUGCUAUAUUUAUGUGUUGUAUGUUGGGACCUCGGACCCUAUUAUGUGCCAUGUACCUCGCUGCACUUUAACCCUAUUAUGGUACUUGCUAUGUUUUUAAUUGCUUCCGAUGAAAGUGUGAGGCUAAUCACAUUCCUGGGGACUAGCUAAGCAUGAGUAACGAGUUUUGAUCGCUUGAGAUAAUUGGGGAUAGCGCUUUGGAUUGAGUCACUGGGGUAUACUUUUGGUCGCCACCUUCGAGUGGUUGACGGGCAUAUGACGGAGUGGACUGGCAAGCUAUCUUACGGUUAUGUCUUGCGCUCACUACUUGACAUUCCGGUUAUUAUAACAGAAGGUUGUCAACCGCGAUCAUGGACACAUUGAGGACGAAUGGCUAUUUAUGCGUAUAUGGAUCCCACUUCUCCAAUAGUAUGUGGUGGUCGCGUUGGACACUGGAUGGUAUAAUAUUCGGGGUGUCCCCAAAUACUUUAUAUUUACCUCUGUAUAAUCACUGCCCUUUGCAGGCUAACCUUGGUUGUUUUCACUUUUGUUGUGAAAACGGGGUAGUGCAUGACUGGUUUCAACCUACCGGAAAACUUUAAGGAAAAUCCAGAAGCUUUCUUCCGGAGCGUCAAGCCGCAAGUCAUCGCUCCGUAGAAAACUCUACCGAUAAAGAAACCAGCCAUACCAGCUUCACCGACCUUCAAGACCAUGGCUGAUAAGACCCUCCGUGAAUUCGCUGCUCCCUUUGCUGACAAUGUUCCAUUGGGCCGCAUAUCAACAUGGGAGAUGUGGAUUUCGAUCUAAAGUCCAGCCUCAUCACGAUGACACAUGCUAGCCCGUUCUGCGGCAAGCCUAAUGAGGAUGCCAAUGCUCAUUUGCAGCAGUUCCUGGAGAUUUGUAGUACGUACACCAUGAAGGGUGUCAGUCCUCCUUAAAGGCUCUUGUCUUUGCGCAAGCUAAAACCACUAAUGCCUUAAGCAAAAAGCUAGCUGUCAAUGACAAGGUCUUAGAGAACAUUAAUGUCAAGCUAGAUGGCUUCGCUUCUGCUUUCCAAAACUAGCUGAGCUUUACUAAGAUGAUAGAAACCCAGCUAGCUCAAUUGGCUUCAUAGGUACCUGCAAGUGAAUCUGGGAGAAUUCCGGGGCAGUCUGACUCCUCCAUUGAAAAUGUCAAGGCGAUCACAAUGAGGGGAGGUAAGUCCACUCGUGAUCCACCGUAUCCCAUGUUGAUGGUCGUUAUCGAUCAGUUUCGACCGUCAAUAUUACUAAAAUAGAGGAGAACUAGUGAUGCUUGCAAUGCAUAUAUCUGUUAGAAUAAUAAUAUUCCACUAGUAUUAGGUAUACUAACCUUUUGCAGAGAAUGACAAUAAAGUGGAGGAGAAUCGACAUCAACUCAGACGAUAAAUCAAUCGGACGGUAUCGAGAACCAGACUUACGUAUGAAUGGGCUAAGAACUCAGAAAUAACACGACACACUGGGCCAAAAUUCACAAGUCUACGGAGGAGGACAACAAAGGAGGCCGCAAGCAAAGAUGGGUUGGGUUGGGCCAGCCCAUGGUUUGGCCGAACCAUAGGGUUCGACGGAACCUCCCAUGGCGCUGAUGGAUGCAGGUUUUGGAUGGACGGCUGGGAUUGAUCCCCAAUGACAGUUGGAGGGUAUUAUCGACCAUUCCAACCGUUACAACCGUCAUUACCUGCCUAUAAAAGGAGCUCAUCUUCUCACUUCAAACACACACCUCAAGCAAUAGCUCUCUCAUAUUCUCUCAAGUUUAGUUUAGUAGUAUCUAGCUGGUGGAAUAGGAAUAUAGUAGAAAUCAGGAGUCCGGAAGUCUUCGGAAGAGUUCGGGUAUGACUCUAGUAGCUUUUCUCUUCUCUUUUGUACGCUUUGUACUUUUAUUAGAAUACUCUUCUAUAUACAUUUAUGGUAUUGAAAUACUUUCUGAGUAUAUGAAUGCCUACUUUACAUUAUGUUAAUGUUAUACUGAAUAUACGGCUUUUGUGCGGGUAUAAUAUUUACAUAUGCAAUUACUCUAUGUCAUGACGAUGAUAUUAGAGUACUAUCUGGUAGUUUAGAUGUGGUGUCUAGAUUGCGGGAUAUCAUUAUUUGGGGUUAUAUGCUGCGGAUGAGAGGUGGGCCGCUUAUAGUGACAGCUCAGUACGGGUAUUCCUCCGCGCCUGUAUAUAAUCCUAAGUUAAUUCCCUGGGGAGGGUAUUCCUCCGUAUUUAGCCCCGGUUGUAUGGUCAUGACGGGCUGUCGUAAGGAACUCGGCAGUCAGGGGUGGCUUCUCAAAGUACCAGGAGGGCAUCGGAUAGAGGGUAUUAGCUAGUAUAUCGGUUAACUAGAAUGUAUGUAUACUAUGUAUAUUAGAAGUAUAGGAAUAGAUUUUCUUUCUCUUUUCUUUCCACUUAGCUUAGAUAAUAUAUUAUGAGAAUGAGUAGCUAAUGCUUGUGUGUCACUCUACCCUUGGAAUACUCUCGGGUGAAAAGCUACAAUGUUAUAUCCGUGCGCUUGCGGACGUGCGCUUGCGGAUGAACUCUAUAACCAUAAUAUACCAGAAGUAUUUCUGCGUCAUUGCUGGGAAUUAUAUUUCUAGUAAUGUCGUUAAGAAAUACCAACAUCCUAACCCUAUAGGAACUAAUGGUAUCGCCAAGGAAGCACCAUCUAGUAAUUCGGCUGAUGAAGAGGUUCAACCAGAGAAGGCUGUGCUGCAGGAGUACUGCGACACACGGUUGCUGCCGUUUCCUCAAUGGAUUAGGAAACCAUCGGUGGACGAGCAGUUCACUCGUUUUGUUGAAGUAAUCCAGAAGAUUCACAUCAACAUGCCGUUGUUGGAUGCUAUGCAAGUGCCAACAUGUGCCCGUUAUCUCAAGGAUAUCCUCAACAACAAGAGACCGCUCCCAACAAAGGAGGUGGUCAAGCUGACGGAGCAAUGCAGCAAUGCCAUACUCCACAAGCUCCCAGAGAAGAAGAAAUAUUCGAGGUGUCCAACGAUCACCUGUUCGAUCGGGGCACAAUAGUUCGACCAAGCCUUGUGUGAUCUUGGAGCAAGUAUCAACGUCAUGCCCAAACACGUCUUUGACAAAUUCAACUUCACGGUAUUGGCACCAACACCGAUGCGCCUACUAGUAUUAAAUAAAUACGAUACCCUUAGAAUACUCUCGGGUGAAAUGCUACAAUGGUAUAUCCGUGCGCUUGCGAAUGAACUCUGUAACCAUAAUAUACCAGAAGUAUUUCUGCGCCAUUGCUGGGAAUUAUAUUUCUAGUAAUGUCGUUAAGAAAUACCAACAACAUUGUAUUCCCUCUGUUUCAUAAUGUAAGACUUUCCAGCACUGUCUACACUCAUAUAUAUGUUAAUGAAUCUAGACACAACAUCUAAAUAAAUAUGGACAAUGCUAGAAAGUCUUAUAUUAUGAAACGGAGGAAGUAUUUUAUAUAUGAUUCUAUAUAGUAUUUUGACCAUUAAUGACUGAGGAAUCAGACUACAUGAUAACAAUUUUCAAGGUUUCAUCACAAUGUCUACCUCUACAGGAAAUCAAAUAAUUCCAGAAAACACUGAGAAAUAGAACAGAGUUUUAUAUAUUUGCUCCGGCGCAUAUAUCUCAACCUUUCUUCAUUUUGCUCAUCUAGUUAUAUUUGGGAGUCGUACGGUGUGAGAAAUACGCGGGAGUAGAUCGUUGGGAAUCACAACAUCACAAGAUAAAUUUCGCUAGCGUCGGCGUGUAUCGAGGCACAUACAACAAGGUGUAGCAAGCGACAGAUCGAUUAAUUGCAGUCUGCAGACCAGUCGAAGCACACGUACCACAUCGGCAGCCAGCAGAUAUUCUUCAAAUAUUUAGUAGCUUACAUAUGUAAUCUACACAUGUUAGUUCUUGAGAAUAUCUCAUAUAGAUCAGGACUGCCAGCAGGAGGAAGCGACAUGGCGCAUAUACACAACGCUAGACAAGAUCUGCUCAGAAUACUCAGCACAAUUAUGUAUAAAUGUCGUAUUCAUAUACAUGUGUUUCGAACACUUUUGCAUCAAUAUUUCUCUUUAUAUCUACCGAAUUCAUGCCAUUUGUUUUUUUUAUGAAUUGUCAUGUUUUGGUCAAGGUAGUUUGAUUUUGUCGUCAAAAUUUAUAUUUUAAAAUUAUACAGUUCCAAUAUCUUAUUAUAUUUAUAAUAACUUAAAAUACUUAUAACAUUAUCUAUCUAUAGAAUAUUCAACUAUCCACAAAGAAGAACAUAGUAAGUUUAUUUUCAUUUGGAUAUUGCUAAAACAUUAGAAAUGCCAAACAGAUACAAUUCUAUACUUUAUGAGCUGCUAAAGAGGAUGCAUGAUAUAAUGAUGUUAAAAGAUAUCUCACAUCCACAAUAUAACGAUUGCAUUGAGUCUGAAUAGGACCACAAUUCCUGUUUACAAAAUUAAAUACUGAGGUUAUUAGCAAUAUAGGAUUUCUGGAAAAUAAUAUUAAAAAUAAAAGAAAAUACAGAAUAGUUUGGACAAAAGAAUAUAUUGUGUUUGUUCGAUUAGUCCAAAUGACUCUUUUUUAAAAAAAUAAAGUUACCCUGUGCAACGCACGGGUUAACGUCUAGUAAGACAAAAUACAACAUGGAGAUGCGUGCAAUUUUUCUGAUUGAUGCUAUGCAAGCACAUGUUCAGAAAAUCCAGAAAAUAGAUUGUGCACAUUAAGGCCCUGUUUAGUUCCCAAACCAAAAAAAUUUCACCCUUCACAUCGAAUGUUUAGACAUAUGCAUGUAGUAUUAAAUAUAAAAAUAAAACUAAUUACAUAGAUUGAAUGUAAAUUGCGAGUCGAAUCUUUUAAGCCUAAUUGCGCCAUGAUGCGAUAACAUGGUGUUACAGUAAACAUUUGCUAAUGAAGGAUUAAUUAGGCUUAAUAAAUUCAUCUCGCAGUUUUCAGGCGGAAUCUGUAAUUCGUUUUGUUAUUAGUCUACGCAAAUAUGUGUACGUAUAUCCGAUGUGACAUGCCAAAAAUUUUCAUUCGCGAACUAAACUAGCCCUAAAUCUACUUUUCUGAACUAGUUACUAUUUUCCUUUCAACAUACGGUUAAAUUUGUAUAAAAAAGCAAGGAGAACAUACAAGUUCUAAGAUUUUCAGAUUUCUGAAUUCGAAACAUGCACAGAACUGAACAUGGUCGGUGCUAACUAAUAAAACAUCAUCUUUAACUAAAUUUGCCAACUAAAAUUUCAGAACAUAAAUAACCACUAUUUGAGUGGAAAAUGCGCGUAUUGACCUAGUUACUAGUUACUAUUAACUGUUGAAUUUUAUGUUGGCAACAUGAAAUUUUGGAGAAUAAAAGCUGACCUGAAAAAAGAGAAUGAACAAAUGCUGUCCCAUUCUUUCUGAACACAGCCAUUUUGAACCCCUUAUCCACACGCAAGGAUUCCCUUUGGCACUAGUCGAAUCUGAACACGCCUUUCACGAGAAAAUAUCAAUGGUUGACAAAAACAAAUAUGAUAUUGAUAGCACUGUCAGUCUAUCACAAGCAUGCAUUAGCUACUCAGCACAAAAAUAUUAAAAAUUUAACAGUUGAUGUAUUAAAAAUUCAAUACAAAUCUACUGAAUCUCAUCCUAUCCCAAACUCAAGAUGCAUUACUUGGCCAAGAACCUAUCCUUUGCAGUACAUAGCUCACCUUCCCUACUUCAAGAAACACACAAUUUUACAAAAACAAUCACUCUGACUUCCCUUGUCUGAUAUAGCUAUUAGAAAAUUAUUAGUCCUAGUAGAGGACAAAACUAAGGAGAACAUGACAGGGGAGACUGCAGGAGAGGGAGAACAAAAGGAAGGUAAUGUACUAAGUAUUCUUUAUUGCUAACAAAAGUAAAAAUACUAUCUAUUCAUAGUGAAGUUCUAAAAUUACUAGUUUCCUCUAAAAUGUUCAGAACAUAAUCAUGCAAUGCUAACAUUUUCAGGAAAAGAUGCAGUGUUUGGAGGCUAGCAAAAUGGCAUGAUCAAGAAGGAGUUGGUGAUACUCAAAGUAUUUGAAAAACUAAAAGCUUACAUCAAUCAGUAUCUAGUCUUCUACUGCAUUAGGUAGCUAAAAUUCACAGAUAUCAGGCUUAGUUAACUUUAAUCUUCUACUGCACAAAUGUUUUGUUAUUCUCAAACGGUUUUCUUUUGGAAGCAUUGGUCAAAGAAGAUAUCACUGAGUGAUCUUAAGUGGUGGAGUAGAUAGCAUCAGCCGUUUCCCCCCUAACCGUACAAUCUGCGCAUCCCCAUCCUGUCUGCUACUCAUGUAAUGCGCGAAAAAACUCCCAUGCGCAUUUUUAAGUUUUUAUUUUUUUAAUAUUUACAGAAAUAUUAUACCAUCCCUGCCAACCAAAUGGAGGGCGGCAAGGUGUGCGCAUUUUGCACUGAGGUCCCUUGCCGCCCUCUGCAAGGAGGCAAAUGCAAUUUUCGCCCUGCCAAAAAUACAUUUUUCUAGUUUUUUUUUCAUCUUGUCUGUCUCUCAUGUCACCCUGCCACUCUCGGGGAGGGCGGCAGGGUCUACUUCUGUAAAUAUUUUCACCGGUACAAUAUUUCUAUAAAUAUUAAAAAUAAAAAAUUUAAAAUGAAAAAAAUUCUCACAUGCGCGCGAUUUGUUGCUUCAUCAUGUGGGUUUUGUUGGGCCAGAGCCAGCAGCCCGUCUUGGGUGGAGAAAAAAAAGCCCACAACGUUUUGUCCUCUGUAAAUAAAAGCCCACAGUCCUAGAAAAGUUGUGACUUUUUUUCGGUUUUAGAUUUUUUUUUAAUAUUUACAGAAAUAAUCUAUCGACCAAAAAAAUUGCAGAAAUAGCCCCUGCCGCCCACCUCUGGGGCGGCAAGCUGACGUGGCAAACGGGGGAGGAACGGGCGGUGACGGAGGGAGGGUUUUUUGCAGGAAAACCCUUGCCGCUCUCUGGUGGGGCGGCAAGGGGCCCGAAUGCAAAAAAGCCAGUCGGGGCCGGCUAUUUUGCAGGCAGCCCCUUGCCGCCCUCUAGCCGGGUGGCAGGCCUCGCUGCCUAUAAAAGGCCUGCUGCCCAGCCCCCAGCCCUCAUUCUUCUCUCCUCAAUUCCAGUGAAAAAAAAGAAGAGAGGGGAGGAGAAGAGAAGAAGGGGCGAAGCCCUGCCGGAUUCAGACGCCGAUUUCAGGUAAUAUUCAUAGAUCCUAUAUGUGACUAUUGAGUUAAAUAGUGUGUAUUCUUUAAAAAUUUGUUUGAAUAAAUGCAUUAUAUUUUUAGGGUUUUAGUUUUACUAAUCUAGAAGUGCGUAUUGUAGAUAUCGGUAACUACGUAGAUCUGCUAGUUUGGAAUUAAUACAUUACCGUUGCAUUGGCUUACACAAGAAGAUAUUACGUUGUAGAUGUUUAUUGCAUGAAAGAGUAAUAUGAUCUAGUUAUUUCGUUGACAGAUAUGUCGAACAAACAAAUAUUCCAAGUUUACCAUGGACCAGGAAACGUCCGUUACGGGCCAACUGGGGUAGAUCUGUCAGAUUUUAUUGUAUCAGAAAGGGGAAUUGAUAGACCGGCUGAGAGGAGUGUACCUUCUAUAAAAGGAUUGUUAAUGAGGGGCUUGAGAGUUGAUCCACAGACAAGUGACAUAACAAUCAAUGUUAUAGUAAGUCGGGCAACUGAGGGUUUUUAUUGGGAACUAAUGCCAGUUCAAAACUCUCGAGUGUGGAGAUGGUAUUUGGAAAAUGCAUUGCAACGCGGGUGGCCUCUAGCUUUGGUUCCGUUUGUUCACCCGAAGGAUCCAGGUGUGCAGACGAACAUGGAUGAUGGUGAGGGACCAAGUGCUGAAGUAAACGAGACUUCUGUGGAGGAGGUCAACGCACGAGAGGACGGGGGCGUAGUAGCUCUAGUGGGCAUUCAACCAGGUGGAGUGGCCGACGAGGGGGAGACUGUCGGUGCCAUUGUGGAUAAAAUGGAGAGGGAGGAUUCUGACAACGAGCGUGUAGAGGAAGGUGAUUCGUCAGAUGAUGAGACGGAUAUUAAUCCAGAAGAAUGGGCUAGUGAGGAUUUUUCUGGGCUGAUCGUCUCUGAAGAGGAUAGUGUGAGAUGGGAGUACAAAGAAAAUGAGGUUAUUCAGGGAGCGAUUUAUAGUAAAGCAGAAGAUAUGAAGGAGGCGGUAAAACAUUUUGCAGUGUCACUUCAUAGAGAGUUUUGGGUUGCCAAGUCGAACCGGUCGCAAUAUGAAGUUCGGUGUGUUAAGGAAAAAGAUGGUUGUCCCUGAAGAGUGCACGCGUAUAAGGGGAAAUGGAAGGAUUAUUGGAUAGUGUCAGUUGUUACCAAGCAUACAUGUUUUCUACCUGGUGUUCAGAAAUACCACAGGAACAUUACAUGUGCAUUUGUUGCAUCUGAGAUGUAUGCGCAUGUCAUUGAUAAUCUCACAUAUGAACCAAGGUCAAUAAUCCGACACAUUGAAGAGACAUACAAGUAUACUAUUAGCUAUGCCAAGGCCUGGAGGGCCAAACAGAAAAUAAUAGAGAUGAUAUUUGGAACUUACGAAGCCUCGUAUGACAAUUUGCCACGCCUGCUUGGUGUUAUCGAGGAAAGAAACCCUGGGAGCUCUUACAAAGUGAAGAAAUUACCCUCAAUUGAACAUCCUGGCAAGAGUGUGCUGCAAAGGGCGUUCUUAGCUCUACAUGCAUGCAAGAUGGCAUUCGUGAACUGUCGUCCUGUUCUCUGCAUUGAUGGGACAUUCUUGACAGGAAAGUAUCGGGGCCAGAUACUAACAGCAAUAGGGGUAGAUGGGAACAAUCAGGUAUUGCCCUUGGCAUUUGCUUUUGUUGAGAGUGAGAAUACCGACAGCUGGUACUGGUUCCUAAAAUUGGUUAAAACAAAAGUUGUUGGUAUGAGGCCAAAUGUAUGCCUGAUACAUGAUAGGCACGCUGGCAUUCUGCGAGCGAUAGGAGAGUUGCAGUUUGGGAGUAUGGAACGAGGAUACCCCGGUGUUUGGGAAGAUGUACAGAGUAGGUGGUGCAUGCAUCAUAUGGGAGCUAAUUUCUUCAAGCAAUUCAAGAACAAGGAGCUCAUGAACAUGUUCAAGAGGCUGUGCAAUCAGAACCAGGAGAAAAAAUUCAAUGAGCUUUAGAAGAGAUUAGAUGAGUUGACAGCCAAAUGCAGCGAUCAGCGUGCAGCGGCUCCAUCGACCGCCGUUGCUGACCCUCCUCAAGCUCUUGGACCUCUCCCAACGGAUAGUCCAACAUUGGUUAGAAGAACUGGAUUGGAGAUUCGGAAAUUUUCUCAGUGGAUUCUGCAUGAAUCAAAAGAGAAAUGGGCCAAGGUGUAUGACACAGGUGGUGCUAGAUAUGGAAUAAUGACAACAAAUUUGGCAGAAGUUUACAACUGGGUGAUGCGCGGUGUCCGUGGACUGCCACUAGUUGGCAUAGUGGAGUUCAUUUUACAUGGGACAUGCAGGUAUUUUAGGGAUCAGUUCCAGGCAGUUCUUCCCUCUAUGCCGAACAACAGCAUUUUGUUUGGAGCUUUCGUGCAGAAAAAGCUAGAGGAGUUGCGUAAAAAGGCCAUGAAACAUCGAGCUCUAGUGCAAGGUACCCAACAGCUCAUGUUUGAGAUACUAUGUCAAGAUAAGGCAGGCAGGGGUAUCUACCGCAAGAGUGAAGCAGGAGUGUGUUCUCAAAGCCGACGGCACAUGUCAUUGCUCUUGUGCAAAGCCGAAGCUGCUCCACAGGCCAUGCACCCAUGUCAUUGCUGCCGCAGCGGAGUGUGGCAUACCAGAUGCAGUAUAUGUGUCACAGUACUUCAGUAAGUAAGCAAUAUAUCAUACAUGGAGCGGUGAGAUUUAUAGUUUCGGCAUAGCUGGGGAGUUCACAGAGACUAACGAUGAAGUACUCAAUAUUCCUGACCCAUCGAAGCUCCGAGGUAAGGCUGGAAGGAGGAGGACUCGUCGCAUCCGCAACGAUAUGGACGAGUCGGAGGCUGGCAGGGUGAAGCGUUGCAGCAAAUGCGAUGAACAUGGGCACACCUACAAGCAUUGUCCUAAAGACAAGGAGAAACCAAGUGCGGCGGAGGCAGGACUAUCAGGAUCAGCAGCAGAUGGAGCUCGCCCUACGGGUGAAGGCACUACCUCCACUCGACCACGUCCUAGGCGUCGUCGUGCCACGCCUGGCUACGUGGUGUAGUUCUUAUGUUCUAUGUCGGCAUGUGGAUUUGCUUGUAAUUCGUUUCGAACUUAUCGAUGUGUUUAUGUUUCGCCGUGUAAUGCCAGACUUCGGCAUGUCAUGUCUUUAGGUCUCGUGAUGUAACGUCGGACUAAGGCGCCUAACGUCUUUAGGUAUGCUGAUGUAUGUCGGACUUCGACACGUAAUGUUAUGUUAUAUUAUUGAACUCUACAUAUAUGUUAAAUUGCACGUCAUCGUUAUGUACCACUAGUAACGUUUGCUAUAUUUAAAUAGCCUGUACUCUUGUUGUACAUAAUUAAUCUCAUGAUUUUAUUACUAUUUCAUAAUUUUGCAAGUUAUCUUUUGUUUUACAGUACUAUUUUUUGAAUUGUUCUAACACGAAACACUAUAUUUUUCAGAGAUGGCACGUCAGGAUACACCUCAGUUGUUGGACCCGGCGAUAGAUCACCGACACCGGUCUCACCUUACUGCGGUGCAGGGGGCUCAGCUUGGGACGAUCCGGGCACGGACGUGCGGUGAGCUACUCACAGUUCACGACUCCUUUGUCGAGAGGUACGAACAGUGUUUUACUAUAAGUUAGUUGCACUGUAAUAUUUUUUAUAAUGACAUUAAUUUGUUAUUGCAGGCUACGUGAGGCCGGCCUCCUACCGAUGUGUCGGCUGGUGGAGGCUGCGGCCGGCGACGCGGACCCGGCCAGACGAUGGACUGUGGACAGGUCCCUCCUAGCAGCUUUGGUCGAUUGAUGGAGGCCAGAGACGCACACUUUUCACUUGCCGUGCGGUGAGGUAGCCCCUACCCUACAGGACAUAUCGUACUUGUUGGGGCUACCGCUAGCAGGAGACGCUGUUGGGCCAGUGACCACGGCUGUGGACUGGCAGGACGAUCUGACGGCACGUUUCGCACUAGUACAGCGCGCACCGCACCUCCCGCUCGAGCCGUUGGCACACCACCGCAACACCGGACCUACGAAGAGGUGGCUGCUUCAGUUCACUGUGAGUGUUUUUGUACCGAAAUGACAAUCGUAUUACAUAUUUAGUCCGCAGUUAAGGUGCCUAACAUUUUAUCGACGGCUUGCUGGUUGAGCAGCUACAGGCGGAGGCCGACGAGUACUCCUACAGCCGAUGUUUGGAGGCGUACUUGCUCUGGCUUUUUGGCUGGGUGAUGUUCUGUGGCGGUCACGGGCACUCGGUCGACAAGGGACUCGUGCACUACGCCAGGAGCAUCGCCGACGCCGCGGUAGGCGUGGUGCCUCAGUGGAGCUGGGGUUCCGCGUUGUUGGCGGCUCUGUACCGUGCACUUUGUGAGUCUUGCACGAAGACGGAUCCCAGCGCGACCUUUGGUGGGUGCCCUCUCUUUCUUUCUAUCUGGGCAGCUGAGAGGAUUGCGAUCGGCCGCCCUGAGGUGGACCAGCACGCGUACGAGGAGUCACUGUACGAGGAGCGACCAGAGGUCGACUACCCUACGAUGGGUACUCUGUGGUGCUGUCGUCAGGUACGUUGCAUCGAUCUUAUCGUAUUGUUAAGUUAAUUGUUAAGUUAAUUGUACAUCACAUCGAUCGUCUCGUAUUGCAGCGCCGAUGGGCCCACGUCCAGGUUAGGCGGUCGUAUCCUGAGUUUGUUAUGGAGUUCGACCGCCUUCUGCCGACUGACGUCGUGUGGGAGCCCUACAGUGCCACGGCUACCCAGGCUCGUGUGCCGUUGGGUCUGUCCACACUCUGCACCAGGGACCAGGCGUACUGGAUGACUACAGUUCCGAUGGUCUUCGACAUCUGCGUUGAGCCUCACGCCCCUUUCCGCGUGAUGCGGCAGUUCGGCUUCCGUCAGCCCUUUCCAGUACCGUUUCCGACCACCGUCCCAGCUGCUGUUCACCGGUAAGAUCUUGCACUACGCUUUCCGUUGUUGCAUUAAAAUCUGCCUGUUCACAAUAAUUUGUAACAUCUGUCGUUUCACACUAAUAUUACACAUUAAUUCGCAGGUACUCGCGCAAGGGUCAGCAGUCAGCUGGCGACUGGCCCGCCAAGUUGGCGACUUUUGUUGAGGACUGGUUGCUCGCAACCGAGGAGGUCGUGGACCACGAGGGAGAGCCACACACUGAGGAGUCGUACCAGGCCUACCUACGCUGGUACCAGCCACGCACCCGUACUAGGGUCACCUUCGCUCCCUUGGAGCAGCAGCCCCACGUUGCGAGCACUAGAGACCUCUAUGCCAGGCACCGCGACCAGGACUUCGCUCGUGCUGUGAGUACCCUGCAUCGCACCAUUCCUUUAUGUUUUCAUGUCUUUCUCUUCGUCAAAUUUUACGAAUAUUUACGAACAAAUUAACCAUGCAGGUCGACGACAUCAACCGGGUCGUCGUUGACGGUUCAACGACGACCAACGUUUAGGCGCGGGGAUUCCGGUACCCAUAGAGGAGCACCUGACGAUGUACAUGCGGAUGGUGGAGUCGAUGCGCUCGAUUCUCCGAGUGCUCACCUGUCAUGCAGACGACGUUGCUCGGGCAGACGCAGCUGUACAGCGGCCACCCGUACCGACUGGUCCCCGUCCAGCUGCGCACGUUCCUAGGCCGACUCCCCCUCCGCACGGAGGUAAGUAUUUUUAUUACUAUUUCUGUACAUGCCUCGCACAUAUAAGUGAGCCGUUUCACUUGCCGAUUGCUUCAGGGUUUCGUGCACCGUUCAGCACCCCACCUUCCUCGGCUAGGCCUUCUGUUGUGCCCCCCACAGGUACUUAAAAAAACAACAUUACUUCGACAAUCAAUUUACAUACAUUUUAUGUCUUAGCUUACAAGGGUCCCGUUGUCGAUGUGUAGGUUUCGCCCAGUUCGCUAUGACGCAGGCCGCCCACUUCUCCCAGGCUGCAGGGUCAGUGUCUCAGGCAGCUGUGUCGACCUCGCACUCAGCGCAGUUCUGGCAGUACACUGGGACUUCGUCACAGGCAGCCGGCACGUCGAGUCAGGGUCCACCACUGGACCAUGCUGGGACCUCGUCGGACUGCUUGUUGCCUUCCACCUUCCUCUUCGACAUCACUGACUUCGACUUCGCUUCAGGCUCGACAGAGGACGUCAUCGGCCCCUCACAGCUGGGAGGCGCACCGCCGGUGCAGACGCAGGACCAGGCGUAGGCCACUCCUUCGCGGGACACUCGUGUUACCCGUGCUGUGCCACCGGAUCAUUUCACCUACUCCCAGGACCACGUGCGAGCACAGGCCCGGAGGAUCAAGCAUGGUUGCGGCGCGUGGCAGGGCCAGUAGAGCAGUCUUCUCUUUGUUUACUUGCUUCACUUUCCAGUACUGUAUGCUUGUGUAAUGACUACGUUGUUGUUAUAUGUGCACGAUACCUUUCGGCGCAUGCACGAUACCUUUCGGCGCAUGCACGACUACUUUCUGCCGCACCGAUGCAGCCUCCUUUAUUCGCGUGUGAUACGAGUAUUUGCCCGCCAUUUGGCGCAUACGACCAAUGUAACUUUCGGCGCCGAUCAUGCAUGUAUCUUUCGGCGCCAAUCAGGCGUACCCACCAUACCCCACCACGUUCACAUGUCAGGGGUAUCACUCGAUUUUUUGCGCCUAUAUAAGUCGCCUUAACGAGUGAGGCCUCACAAUCUUUCAGAACUCAGUCACAUUCAGUACUCUCUUCCCCACUUGCUUCAUUACAAAUCCGACCGACUUUCGUCAAUGGCUAGACGCCGAGGUGUUGAGGAUCCAAACUGGUGUAGCGAUCCUUGUGUAUACCUACUACCACCUUGGUGCCAGCGUCCUCUCUGCCUAUGCGGUGAUCGAUGCCAACUAAUGGCUUCGAGGAAUCCUGAUAUUCGAGGAAGGCGCUUUUUUAGGUGCCCUAACUAUGACCGUGAGGUAUUUUAUUAUCUGCAUAUGCUUAUUCAUUCCGUAUGGGCAAUCGCUUUAUUCUUCGUAACACUACUCUAUUCGACAGACCCGCACUACGGCUUGCGCAUACAUCGAGUGGGUCGAUACAGAAAAUCCCGUUCUCGACUUAACCACUUGUUUACAAGAAGGUCGCUGGUAUUUCGCAUCCGAAAGUACUGAGCAAUACUUACAGAGAAAAGCGGCUUAUGAACGACAAUGUCGUGAACAACAGAGCGACUGGCGGGUGCUAACUACGGCACUCCCUCCAUGGGAAGCCCGUCCAAGAUGCAGGUGUGGUGAUCAUUGUCAGGUUCUUCGUUCCAUAAAUCCUACAACAUUGGGUCGAAGGUUCUUUGUUUGUCCAAAUAUUCUUGACGACGAUUUUAUGGUAAGAAUAUUUUGAUUACAUGAAUCCUUAUUUUCUCACAACAUUUACUAACUUUGCUUGCUUUACAUCUAUUCUUUCCUCCUAGGAACCACCAAGGAGAUGUCAAUAUAGAGAAUGGAUAGACACCAGAAGGGUUCUAACUCCACCUAGCCGUGUUAUGCAGCUUGAACUACCAGAGCAAUACAGGGUUACUAAAGCGCGGUUUGAGAGAGGAGAGGGAUCCUCACGUAGGGGUUAGCUAUUAUCGGACAACUUGGCAUAUUGAAAUUUCUACUGUCAUGCUUCCUUGUCCCAUUACUACAUCGUCGUUGUGUUCAACUAUUGCACUACCUCUCUCCUAGUUCGAAUCUAAUAUCAUCUAUGUAACCGCAAUGCAAAUAGUUGUAUCAUGUUCAAAUUGUACUACUAUUUCUUCAUGUUACAUAAUUCUCCUUGUUUAAGUCCAUAUAAUGUUUCUACGACCCAGACUGCGAUAGGCCUAUAUAAAUUAUCCGAGUACUAAUACGUCGAAUAAGGUACAAAAUAAUACCUCACUUAACAUAUGAAAUUGCGCAACAACCAACUUCAAUACAUUUUUAUAACAAUAUUAACAAGUUUUACCAAUAAAUACUUCUUUAUUUAUUAUUAACAUAACAUAGAAAAAUCUUUUGGCCGUACUUUUUUCAUCUGGGUCCCUUGCCGCUCUCUAUUGGGGCAGCAAGGGACCCGGAUGAAAAAGUACGGCCGCAAGCUCUUUAUGGGCGGCCAAAAUUGCAAUUAGCCCCUUGCCGCCCUCUGUACGGGCGGCAAGGGCCUAAUCGCAAUUUUGGCCGAUGGCGGCAGAUGGCGCGGUCGAUCCACCGUCUGCCACGUCAGCUUACCGCCCACCAUUAGGGCGGCAGGGGCUAUUUCUGUAAUUUUUUUGGUCGAUAGAUUAUUUCUGUAAAUAUUAAAAAAAAAAUCUAAAAACGAAAAAAAUUCGAAAAGUUGUUAUCUGUGCAAACAAAAGCCACAACCCAGAAACGUUUUGUCAUCUCCAUUUGGUUUCUUCAACCAGAAAUUUGUGGUCUUUCUUUGAUUGUCAGAUCAGAAAAAAAGAGAUCAAAUCCAGGCUGGAAGAAAAGAAGAGAUCGACCAAAAGAGAGGAGCCAAAAUAGAUGGAGAAAGAAGAAAAAACUCAUAAAAAUCAUCGAAUAUAUUCAGAGAGAAAAAAUGGCUUCAUCUCUGAUCUAGAUGCCCUGCAAGCCUGCCUGUUGCAUGGCUGCUGCAAUGCACUGCUAUGCAUGAUUACCAAAGCCACCAAAUAGAAAUCUAAAAACAAUGGUGGUGUUUGAAUCGGCUGAAGAUGAAGAUUACUCCCUCCGUCCUAUAAUAUUACAACCUAGGACUGGAUGGGAUGUUUCAUAGUACAAUGAAUCUGGACAUGCAUCUAUCCAGAUUCGUUGUAUUAUGAAACGUUCCAUCCAGUCCUAGGUUUUAAUAUUAUGGGACGGAGGGAGUAAGUGUUUCACGCAAAACGAGGUGGUAAUAAUAUGUGAUUAAUUGAGUUUUAAUUAUUACAAACUUGCAAAAUGGAGUAAUAUGAUAUUUUAGAACAACUUUCAUAUAUAAAGUUUUCGCACGAAACACACCGUUUAGCCCUGCUUGCAGUGGAAUCGAAUGCAGCCAAUGUGUAACUUCUGCAUAGGGAUGCAGUACUGAAAAAUAUGGCAAGCAAUAUGACAAGCAAAUAUCAGCAUUAAGAACGAUUUCUAGUGGUUAGGCUAUGACAUAAAUAAGUGAUAAACUGAUUAAUAUGUACCAAAAUUAUAAAAAUAGAAAUCAGGCUUAUUUAGGAAAUGUCGACAAAAGCGAUACAAAAUGUUACUCCUAUCUACUUUGAGAUGACCAAAUAUUUUAUAAAAUUCUAUCUACAUGACCAAGUAGAUAGACUAGGAACACUCACUUUUAUUUUCUGAAGUAAACUUCGAAGUAAUCUCCCACUGCCCCGCACGCUGCAAGCGCUUCGCCCAAUCGCACGCCUCUAUGUCCAAGGCUUAUUUGCCUAAUCGUGGGUCCUCAGGUAGGCUUCUGAGCAUUAUAUCCUUGCUUAUCUCUUCUUCCGCUCCACCUCCGCCGCCGCAGGGCUUGCCAUCAGUUGUUGCUGCGCUGCUUUAUCGGCACGAAUUCUUGUAUUUGCUAUGUUUUCUGGUCAAACACCUAAAAAUUGGGCAACUUAGAAAUUAGUAACAAAAUAUGUUAGCUUUAGUAAAAUAUGGAACACAAUAGAAAGAUGUAGCUAAAAUUUAAUAACUGAAAAAGACAAAACAAAUAAUAUGAUUUUAUAGUUGCUAUCAUUUAGAUAGAACACCAGCUUGAUUAAUAUGUGGGAAGAUUUUAAAAUCCGACAAAGACAAAUAAGACAAACACCAACAAAAUACAAAACCGGUAGAUGAUAGGGCUAUGACCUAGAUAAUAUGAUUUCAUAGUUGUUAUUAAGAUAGCGCAUUAGGUUGAUUAAUAUGUAGGAAAAUUAUAAAAGUUGCAAAGACAAAGACAAAAUACAAACACAAUACGACAAAAGUUUAAAUUGUGAGAUGCUGACAAAACAAAAAAUGAUAAAAAAAUUUUAAAAUACGUUCGCCGCCAUUAAACGCAUCAUGGUCGCGUGCCGCGUCGACGCGAUUACAAAACUGGAAUGGGCUUAAGCCCUUCAUAUGAAAUUAAUAUAGUUUUCUCGGUAGAAUGCCAGGAACAAAGAAGCCCACUAAUUAAAAGCACUUGGGCGUUGGACCUUUUUCAGUGACUUUAAAAAAGCUCACUCUAUCAAACGAUUAAAAAAACAAUAAAUGGAUUUAAUCACAGGAGCAAAAAUCAUACAUGAUACAGGAGCAAAAAUCGUAAAGCAGAAAAACUUCAUCCAUGGCCUUGCCGUAUCCAUGACCAUAAGUUUCAAAUCCCUCAGACAUCAUCUAAUACUUUAUCUCAUGAAUGUUAUGCUUGCCAUGUAUAGUUCUACAAGCUAUCGUAUAAAACAGUGAGAAUUUUUAAUUACAGAAGAAGAGUACAACAUCAACCCAGUAGGGUAGGUUUCAGUGAUCUCACCUCAGCGGUUAUGCAAAUACUUGACAUCAGACCAGCAAAAUUUCAUCCAAGGCCUUGCCUCAACCCUCCCAAAAAUCUUAGCUUCUGAGGAAGCAUUCAACACAUUAUUAAGCAGUGGCAAAAAUAUAUCAUCCUAGAGCAAACAUCAAGUUGUUAGCUUCAAAAUGAAAUAUGUCUGAGAAAACAUCACUGUCAGAAAACCCCAAACCCAGCUAGAUAAACAUAAAGAUCCUUGAUCCAACUUAGGCAAGCAUAAAUGGUGCACGCAAACACCUAUGUCAAAGCAUCUAUCACAUGGAGGAACAACACUAGCUAUGUGCUAUAUUCAACAUGCUUAUAAAAUAAAAAGUAGGAAAUUAAUUCCUAUGGCUGGCCAUUUAUGUACUACAGAAACUAUGCUCAUUUCAUCUAAAGUAUAUUGUGCAAAAGAAUAGCCUAACAGCCAGAUAAACCAAUAGAUUUGUAGUAGACAGUGAACAUCUGAAUUGGAAGAAAUCAGGAUUUCUGAAAUUCAAGAACACACACAAUUUUUAUAGCAGAAGAUGGAUCAGCACCAAGUUUAUAGCAGCACCUUUAUUGUAACAGUGAACUAGUGUGUCGCAUACAUGAUCAGUUCCAUGUAACAAGAACUUGCCAAGUUAGUGUACUGCAUACCAGAACUUGACAAAAUAAAAUAAAAAUUUUAAAAUCUGACAAAAACAAAAAACAAAAAAAAAUACAAAUAUGAAAAAAUGACUUAUUUUGAAACAAAACAAAGGGACAAAACUACAAAUGGGACACACAAAAGGUAUUUCUUUGUAAAAAAAUUUUAAAAAAGCCCACAACGUUUUUUCCAUUAUGUUUGUUUCUGUCCGAUUGUUAUAUUUUUGCUACAUAUUAAUUAGGUUGAUGCGCUACCGAUAGUAACUAUAAAAUCAUAUUAUUUACUCCGUUUCAGGUUAUAAGACGUUUUGACUUUGGUCAAAGUCAAACUGCUUUAAGUUUGACUAAGUUUGUAGAAAAAGGCAAAAACAUUUUCAACCCAAGACAAAUUUAUUGUGAAAAUAUAUUCAAUUAUUGAUUUGAUUAAACUAAUUUAGUAUUAUAAAUAUUAUUAUAUUUAUCUAUAAACUUGAAACAUUUUGAUUUUGACCAAAUUCAAAACGUAUUAUAACUUGAAACGGAGGGAGUAGAUCGUAGCCUAUCUUCUGUUGGUUUUGUAUUUUGUCGUAGCCUAAUUUCACAACACUGAAAAUUAUUAGUUCAAUUGAACGGCAAGUUUAAUGGUGGUAGCUAUGGCUAAGGAGUUCACACAUAUCCUUAAUGAAGAGAUAAUUUUUGUGCAUGGCAUAAGAAAAUAAGGAUUGUCACUGGCAGUCUAUGAAUGUAUACAAAGUGAUUUGAGGGUCUAUAGAGAAGAAAGACUUGCUGUGUAAUAACUAUUUCAUCAAAUAGAAAUUCUAGCUCAAAGUUACGUAACAUGUUCGUCUUAUAUACAGACAUCAGGAGGAGAGUGUCUCAAACAAGAACAUGCAUAGAAUAUAUGAUUAGAGCAUACCUAAUCUUAAAAAAAGAUAUGCACAGAACAUCCUCACACAUAUCCUGUGAUUAAAUCUAUUUAUUCUUUUUAUAACCGUUUGAUAGAGUGAGCUUUUUUUUAAGUCACUGAAGAAGGUCCAAUGCCCAAGCUUUUAGGCUGUGUUAUUUCCCAUGGGUUAAUAAAAGCUGUGUUCUUUCCCAUGGGUUAAUCCAUUUUUCAAGUUUUUAUAACUAAUAAUUAAUUAAUCACAUGUUAGUCUGUCGCUUUGUUUUCCAUGCAGAGGGGAGGGGUUCCCAACCCCUCCAAAAGAACACUGCCUUAGUGGGCUUCUUUAUUUCUGGCAUUCUACGAAGAAAAGUAUAUUUGAUAUGAAGUGCUUAAGCCCAUUCCAGUUUUUUAAUCUUUUGUUGUUGCUGUUUUUUUCUGGACGUGUCUUUCUUGGAGAUAGGUAAGGCUAAUUUUUUUCUCAUAUAUAUUGAUAUGAUAUCUGUACUGGGAACUAAAACAUAUUUUUUUAUAUAGAUUACACGACAGACGCACAUGCACACAUACCACUACACACGCAACACCACACUCACACCCCUACGAAUACGUCACUUAACACAUGCUUUAAGAGACGAAAACCAGUGGCACAUCCCUGGUUUCACUAAAAUCCUGUUGAAAGUCCACCUGUAUGUGCAUAAUAUUUGUGGGCAUUGCUCCAUAUACAGUCAAAGUGGAAAGGUAGGGAUAAUGAGUGAGCACUGCAUUUGCUAAGCUCUACAUUGAGAUAAAUGACAUAAGUAAUUUGUAUCAGGGAUGUUGGUUCGUUUUAUAUCAUUGGGUUGAAAAAUGAAAGUGGAGCCCAUGCUUUUCAAAAAAUAUCAGCACCCUCCCACCUAGAGGAGCUGAUACAACAUUAUCAGUACGUAAGCAAGACCCUAUUUAGUUGGCGAGACGAAAAGUUUUGGCGUGUUACAUCGGAUAUAUGUACACACAUUUAAAAGAUUAAACAUAGUCUAAUAACAAAAUAAAUUACAGAUUCCGCCUGUAAACUGCGAGACAAAUUUAUUAAGCUUAAUUAAUCUGUCAUUAGCAAAUAUUUACUGUAGCACCAUAUUGUCAAAUCAUGGCGCAAUUAGGCUUAAAAGAUUUGUCUCGCAAUUACAUGCAAUCUAUGUAAUUAGUUUUUUUCUAUAUUUAAUACUUCACACAUGUGUCAAACAUUCGAUGUGACAGAGUGAAAAAUUUUUGUUUGGGAACUAAACAUGGCCCAAGUUAAAGACAUGAAUUUCACCCGACAUUGAAUUUCACUGAUCACUGCUUUCUGUUCCCGACAUGGCCUACUUUAUCAAUCACAAGCAGCCACCCUUAUUGCGAGUAAAGAAUAGUAGUGACUGUUUUGUUUUACAAAAUCAAGGUGUCAAAUUGGCAUUAUCAAUGAAUGGUACCUGACCUAAUGUUUUUUCCUGGGUUUCGGAUCUGUGAUGUGAAGAAAGCUGGAUGUGUAGCUCCGGAAUUCAGGUAUUGCUUUUUGUUCAGGGGUGUAGGAAUGUUUAGAAAACAAAAAUCUAAAUGCACUCGCACAUACUUCAUACAGGAGUUGAUAAUUGAUUAGCUAAGCAAAUCAUGUGGGGAUUCUGAAGCACAGAUUGAAAAAGAGCACACAAAAAGUUCAUUUGGAGGUUCUGAAGCACAGAUUAAAUCUAUAACAUGCGGGGAUGAAGCAAUCAAGAGGAUGAGGAUGGAAGAACCCAAGUUGGGCUUCAAAUUUUUUUUUGAAUUUGUUUUUUGUGGAUAGGUGAGGCCGUGAGGGCCAUUUUAAGCCCGUUUGUUUGUUUGUUGGGCAUCAAAUAUGUAUGAUAUUUAAGCCCGUUUGUUUUUUGGGCUUAUCUAAUAGACAAAACGAAAAAGGGCUUCAUGCUUUGAUCUGACAAAACAAACUGCAGAGAAACGCUAUGCUACGUGCAGCGCGCGCGAUGCAAACACGUGUUGAAUCCGACGUUUAGGAAUUCGGCUGUAAUCACAAAUAUUUUCAGCCGUGUGCCACAUAGACAGUCCAUUAAAUAUCCUUUUGGUCAUGAAUUAAUUCGAUGGACGUUCUCACUCGUCGCCGCAAGUCCAGUGGCCCACUGGAUGCUUCCAUCUCCUCCUUGAUAAUAUGGCUCUCUUCGUCCACAAGCGAAGACCGUCGGUGGAUCAGGCACCACAUGCUUGGAUAGGCAAACCAUGGCCAAUCCUUCCACAUCCUUGCAUCCACGAAGCAUUGCCUUCCAACCAUCCAAUAGUGACCUCACCCUUGGUUAUAUAAUGACGAAUCUGUGCAGAGAGAGCCUCAGUACUCAAGCCGGAGGCAGCACACUGCAACUUAAGUUUUUCUAUAGCUCCUAGCAAGCUAGCAAUGGCUCCCUCGGUGAUGGCUUCGUCGGCCACCUCCGUGGCUCCCUUCCAGGGGCUCAAGUCCACUGCGGGCCUCCCGGUGAACCGCCGCUCCAGCAGCUCGAGCUUUGGCAACGUCAGCAAUGGCGGAAGGAUCAGAUGCAUGCAGGUAUCAGAAACGAUACGUUUCAAUUUCUCCUUCAAAG